GGUAACAUCCAACACGUAAAGAGUUAAAGAAUCAAGGCCAUCAUGAAAAUCAUCCAAGCAUCUCAAACAUGGCAAGAUAGUCAAUCAGCUCAAGAAUGAAAAGUGAUAAAGCCUCACAAGAUAUGCACUCUAUCUCUCAAGUGUCUAGGCUACUGUUUACUCUCAGAGCACCCAUGAAAACAAACACCACAUAGACUUGGAAAGACUCUAAAAUUGACAACCACAUCACAAACACAUGCACAUGAGGAUCAAAAGGUCUUUCAAGGUUGUAAUGGGGCCAAGGACAAGGUAGAUGAAAGUAUGGGAUAGUAGCUAAAACCCAAAGGAAUAGAGGAGCAAUGGGGAAUAAGUGGGAAGUAAGAAAAAGUAGUAAACCCCAAAACCAAAAUUACAAAUUAUGUUUUAAAAAG
This 410-nucleotide long non-coding RNA is filed under the name Glycine max (soybean). RNAcentral describes it as "long non-coding RNA (GMAX_LNC000584)". The record is from RNAcentral. Lineage: Eukaryota; Viridiplantae; Streptophyta; Magnoliopsida; Fabales; Fabaceae.